GGCAGUUGGGUAUCUCAGUGGAUAGAGAACCAAGCCUGGAGAUGGGAGGUCCUAAUUUCAAAUUUGAUCUCAGACUCUUCCUAGCCAUGUGACUGGGCAAGUCACUUAACUCCCAUUGGCUAGCCCUUACCACUCUUCUGCCUUGGAACCAAUACAUAGUAUUAAUUCUAAGAUAGAAGGAAAGGGUUUAAAAAACAACAGCAGCAACAACAACAACAAAAAACCUUGAAUGGGUUCACAAAGGGACAUGCCAAAAAACAAGAACUUAGCCCUUAUUCUGGUACCUCGCUUUAUCUCAGAGGCUGCAUCCUUCUAGGACCUCAGGACUGCCCCCUUUGGAGGUGGAAGGUCAGUGGUCAGAGAGAGGGCUCCCCAAUGCUGUUCACCAAGCUCUUUGGGGCACAUUCAAAACUGAGUUAUGCCAAACCAAAUCGCUGCCCUCAACUUGGGUUUCUUUUCCCCCUUCUCUCUAGGACUAUAAAUCUGACAAUUCUGUGCUCACUUCCAGUGCCAAGAACAGUCCUCAAGGUCCGUUUAUUUUAG
This 543-nucleotide long non-coding RNA is filed under the name Monodelphis domestica (gray short-tailed opossum). RNAcentral describes it as "lncRNA (ENSMODG00000033877.2)". Lineage: Eukaryota; Metazoa; Chordata; Mammalia; Didelphimorphia; Didelphidae. The record is from RNAcentral.